GACGAACGCUGGCGGCGUGCCUAAUACAUGCAAGUCGAGCGAAGUUUUUCUGGUGCUUGCACCGGAAAAACUUAGCGGCGAACGGGUGAGUAACACGUAAAGAACCUGCCUCAUAGACUGGGACAACUAUUGGAAACGAUAGCUAAUACCGGAUAAUAGCAUUAACUGCAUGGUUGAUGUUUAAAAGUUGGUUUUGCUAACACUAUGAGAUGGCUUUGCGGUGCAUUAGCUAGUUGGUGGGGUAAAGGCCUACCAAGGCGACGAUGCAUAGCCGACCUGAGAGGGUGAUCGGCCACACUGGGACUGAGACACGGCCCAGACUCCUACGGGAGGCAGCAGUAGGGAAUCUUCCGCAAUGGGCGAAAGCCUGACGGAGCAACGCCGCGUGAGUGAAGAAGGAUUUCGGUUCGUAAAGCUCUGUUGUUAGGGAAGAAUGAUUGUGUAGUAACUAUACACAGUAGAGACGGUACCUAACCAGAAAGCCACGGCUAACUACGU
Molecule: ribosomal RNA, 498 nt
Filed under: uncultured bacterium
Lineage: Bacteria
Description: partial 16S ribosomal RNA
Rfam family: Bacterial small subunit ribosomal RNA
Source: RNAcentral